Molecule: ribosomal RNA, 465 nt
Filed under: uncultured bacterium
Lineage: Bacteria
Description: partial 16S ribosomal RNA
Rfam family: Bacterial small subunit ribosomal RNA
Source: RNAcentral
GGGGGGGGGGGGGGGCGGGGUGGAGCCGGGCGAGUCGGGGGGAGAGGCCCGUGGGGGGGGACGCGAGGGGCGAAGGGGGGGGUCACAGGGGAGUAACCUGGCCUGGAGUUCGGGAUAACUGCAGGAAACUGGGGCUAGUGCCGGAGAGGCAGGCUUGCUGCCUGGGGGGGGUUGGAAAGCUUCGGAGGUUUUGGAUGGACUCGCGGGGUAUCAGCUUGUUGGGGGGGUAGUGGCUUACCAAGGCGUUGACGGGUAGCCGGCCUGAGAGGGCGACCGGCCACAUUGGGACUGAGAUACGGCCCAGACGCCUACGGGAGGCAGCAGUGGGGAAUAUUGCACAAUGGGCGGAAGCCUGAUGCAGCAACGCCGCGUGCGGGAUGACGGCCUUCGGGUUGUAAACCGCUUUCAGCAGGGGCGAAGCUUGUGGUGACGGUACCUGCAGAAGAAGCACCGGCUAACUACGUG